AUACGUAGGUGGCAAGCGUUGUCCGGAAUUAUUGGGCGUAAAGCGCGCGCAGGUGGUUCCUUAAGUCUGAUGUGAAAGCCCCCGGCUCAACCGGGGAGGGUCAUUGGAAACUGGGGAACUUGAGUGCAGAAGAGGAUAGCGGAAUUCCAAGUGUAGCGGUGAAAUGCGUAGAGAUUUGGAGGAACACCAGUGGCGAAGGCGAAUGUUGGGUCUGUAACUGACACUGAGGCGCGAAAGCGUGGGGAGCAAACAGGAUUAGAUACCCUGGUAGUCCACGCCGUAAACGAUGAGUGCUAAGUGUUGGGGGGUUUCCGCCCCUCAGUGCUGCAGCUAACGCAUUAAGCACUCCGCCUGGGGAGUACGGUCGCAAGACUGAAACUCAAAGGAAUUGACGGGG
Molecule: ribosomal RNA, 397 nt
Filed under: uncultured bacterium
Lineage: Bacteria
Description: partial 16S ribosomal RNA
Rfam family: Bacterial small subunit ribosomal RNA
Source: RNAcentral